GAUGAACGCUGGCGGCGUGCCUAAUACAUGCAAGUCGAGCGAACAGACGAGGAGCUUGCUCCUCUGACGUUAGCGGCGGACGGGUGAGUAACACGUGGAUAACCUACCUAUAAGACUGGGAUAACUUCGGGAAACCGGAGCUAAUACCGGAUAAUAUAUUGAACCGCAUGGUUCAAUAGUGAAAGACGGUUUUGCUGUCACUUAUAGAUGGAUCCGAGCCGCAUUAGCUAGUUGGUAAGGUAACGGCUUACCAAGGCAACGAUGCGUAGCCGACCUGAGAGGGUGAUCAGCCACACUGGAACUGAGACACGGUCCAGACUCCUACGGGAGGCAGCAGUAGGGAAUCUUCCGCAAUGGGCGAAAGCUUGACGGAGCAACGCCGCGUGAGUGAUGAAGGUCUUCGGAUCGUAAAACUCUGUUAUUAGGGAAGAACAAAUGUGUAAGUAACUAUGCACGUCUUGACGGUACCUAAUCAGAAAGCCACGGCUAACUACGUG
This 497-nucleotide ribosomal RNA is filed under the name uncultured bacterium. RNAcentral's name for it is "partial 16S ribosomal RNA". It matches the Rfam family "Bacterial small subunit ribosomal RNA", at positions 28 to 507 of the family's 1533-position model. The record is from RNAcentral.